CUGCUACUUUCCUCUGGCUUCCUCUUUCAUGCCGAAAUGUUUUUAAUUUCCUCAAAGAUAAUAACUCAAGGUGUCAGUGGGAUGUUUUGGCUGGUGAAAAUACUGUCACUGAAUUAGCAAGAAUAGAAACAGGAUGUGUUCCAGGAAACAAUAUUACAAUCAUUCAGCCUUAUGUUCCAGAAGAGAAAACCAUGUUGAUUCUUCAAGAGUCC
Long non-coding RNA from Solanum pennellii, 212 nucleotides. RefSeq lists it as uncharacterized. The record is from RefSeq and is a predicted model, not a curated record. Lineage: Eukaryota; Viridiplantae; Streptophyta; Magnoliopsida; Solanales; Solanaceae. The transcript has 3 exons.